UACGGGGGGAGCAAGCGUUGUUCGGAUUACUGGGCGUAAAGGGCGCGUAGGCGGCGCCGCAAGUCGACUGUGAAAUCUCCGGGCUUAACCCGGAAAGGUCAGCCGAUACUGCGGGGCUAGAGUGCAGAAGGGGCAACUGGAAUUCUCGGUGUAGCGGUGAAAUGCGUAGAUAUCGAGAGGAACACCUGCGGCGAAGGCGGGUUGCUGGGCUGACACUGACGCUGAGGCGCGAAAGCGUGGGGAGCAAACAG
Molecule: ribosomal RNA, 251 nt
Filed under: uncultured bacterium
Lineage: Bacteria
Description: partial 16S ribosomal RNA
Rfam family: Bacterial small subunit ribosomal RNA
Source: RNAcentral